Molecule: unclassified non-coding RNA, 403 nt
Filed under: Hevea brasiliensis (rubber tree)
Lineage: Eukaryota; Viridiplantae; Streptophyta; Magnoliopsida; Malpighiales; Euphorbiaceae
Source: RNAcentral
AGCUGUUUAACUCGAUAGACAUGGUAUGUUAAUAACCUAUUGCCAUAUAUUUUGGUUGGACUUCUAUUGAUUAUCAAAUUAGCGGACAUGAAUGUCAUGCAAUUGUUGAUUUAAAGCUUUUUGUUAUUUAGUUUCUAUGUAUGUGAUGUGUAUUUAGAAACUAUCAAUUGUACCUCGAAACUUUUAUUGGGUUUUAAGCUAUGAGCGUUCUUUUCAUUGUGUGCAAGUUUUGGAAUGAGUCAAACAGAAGCUUAAGCAGCAUACACGGUUAUCUAAUAACUAUUAAAAAGUUUUGUUGCUCUAGUUUCUGGGUUUGUUUUCAUUGAAAAUGUUGUACUUCUAUUGCUGCACUCAUUUGAUCAUUGGUUUUGGCAAUUGCAGGCUCGGCUAGACCCCCACAGUU